UACGAAGGGUGCAAGCGUUACUCGGAAUUACUGGGCGUAAAGCGUGCGUAGGCGGUUUGUUAAGUCCGCUGUGAAAGCCCUGGGCUCAACCUGGGAAUUGCAGUGGAUACUGGCAAGCUAGAGUGCGGUAGAGGAUGGUGGAAUUCCCGGUGUAGAGGUGAAAUUCGUAGAUAUCGGGAGGAACACCGGUGGCGAAGGCGGCGACCUGGGUGGAUACUGACGCUGAGGUGCGAAAGCGUGGGGAGCAAACAGG
Molecule: ribosomal RNA, 253 nt
Filed under: uncultured bacterium
Lineage: Bacteria
Description: partial 16S ribosomal RNA
Rfam family: Bacterial small subunit ribosomal RNA
Source: RNAcentral